GAUGAACGCUGGCGGCGUGCCUAAUACAUGCAAGUCGAACGAAACUUCUUUAUCACCGAGUGCUUGCACUCACCGAUAAAGAGUUGAGUGGCGAACUGGUGAGUAACACGUGGGCAACCUGCCCAAAAGAGGGGGAUAACACUUGGAAACAGGUGCUAAUACCGCAUAACCAUAGUUUCCGCAUGGUAACUAUGUAAAAGGUGGCUAUACUACCGCUUUUGGAUGGGCCCGCGGCGCAUUAGCUAGUUGGUAGGGUAAAGGCUUACCAAGGCAAUGAUGCGUAGCCGAAUUGAGAGGUUGAUCGGCCACAUUGGGGCUGAGACACGGCCCAAACUCCUACGGGAGGCAGCAGUAGGGAAUCUUCCACAAUGGGCGAAAGCCUGAUGGAGCAACGCCGCGUGGGUGAAGAAGGUCUUCGGAUCGUAAAACCCUGUUGUUAGAGAAGAAAGUGCGUGAGAGUAACUGUUCACGUUUCGACGGUAUCUAACCAGAAAGCCACGGCUAACUACGUG
RNAcentral lists this ribosomal RNA (512 nucleotides) under uncultured bacterium. RNAcentral's name for it is "partial 16S ribosomal RNA". It matches the Rfam family "Bacterial small subunit ribosomal RNA", at positions 28 to 507 of the family's 1533-position model. The record is from RNAcentral.